Molecule: long non-coding RNA, 639 nt
Filed under: Sinocyclocheilus anshuiensis
Lineage: Eukaryota; Metazoa; Chordata; Actinopteri; Cypriniformes; Cyprinidae
Description: lncRNA (ENSSANG00000025587.1)
Source: RNAcentral
UAAAAAUAAAAUAAAAUAAAAUAAAAAAAAUAAAGGCAGGUUGAAAAGUCUCCAGGACAGGUUUAAACUGGUCCUUCAUGUAACAAGGAAAAAGUUUAUUGUAGGUUAAAAAAAUAAAAAAAAAUCCCCGUAGUGGAAGAAACACCCUCAUGUGGAUUCAUAUUACGUUGUCAUGCAUUAUUUAUACAUACACCUGCAUGCUUCAAACAUGAUUUACAGGAAAAGUGUGUGGAGGACUGGCCUGAACACAGUCCAGAACUUUCUCCAGAAUGGAAACCAGCUGGCAAGCUCAGGCUUCGGAGAGACUCAGUACGGAUUACAGAGGCGUCUGAUGGAGGCGCUGAUCUGAAGAAGAACGGGAAGCAGACUCUGGGAAGGAAACUGAGACACUCGCUGCUGAUCAGGAGGAGCUCAAAGGUAAAUAAAGACAAAUCAUGACGCUUGCUGAAGGAGAAGUGUGUGAUUUAUCCGCCACUACACUACUAGAAAAAUAUGAAAAAUUCAAAAGAUGUUAAAUCUGUUAAAUUCAAUUAAAAUUAAAAAGAUGUUGGUAAUUUUCUGUCAGGACAUUGUCUGUUAAGUUUAAGAACAAUUCCUUUAACCCCAAAACACAACAUAAUGUAUAAAAAAAUAUUUCUG